Molecule: ribosomal RNA, 403 nt
Filed under: Verrucomicrobiota bacterium
Lineage: Bacteria; Pseudomonadati; Verrucomicrobiota
Description: Verrucomicrobia bacterium partial 16S ribosomal RNA
Rfam family: Bacterial small subunit ribosomal RNA
Source: RNAcentral
UGGGGAAUAUUGCACAAUGGGGGAAACCCUGAUGCAGCGACGCCGCGUGAGCGAAGAAGGUUUUCGAAUCGUAAAGCUCUGUCCUAUGAGAAGAUAAUGACGGUAUCAUAGGAGGAAGCCCUGGCUAAAUACGUGCCAGCAGCCGCGGUAAUACGUAUGGGGCGAGCGUUGUCCGGAAUUAUUGGGCGUAAAGGGUACGUAGGCGGUCUAUUAAGUCAGGUGUGAAAGCGUGAGGCUUAACCUCAUUAAGCACUUGAAACUGAUAGACUUGAGUGAAGGAGAGGAAAGUGGAAUUCCUAGUGUAGCGGUGAAAUGCGUAGAUAUUAGGAGGAAGACCGGUGGCGAAGGCGACUUUCUGGACUUUUACUGACGCUCAGGUACGAAAGCGUGGGGAGCGAACAGG